UUCCAGCCGCCUGGAGCCCGCUGCCUCUCCCCGAAACGCCGGGGUCCCCGCCCUUGCCGGUGGCGCCGCGCGGCUGCCCGGGCGCGAGGUGCCCGAGCUCUAUGCGCUCUUUAGGCCGGCCGGCGGGAGGCAGCGGCAAGAGGCGCUUUUCCGGAGCGCCCGCUCGGCAGCAAGGCCUCGGACGGAGGCGAAAUAAAUAAUGCACGAAAAAGGAAAACAGACGUGAGCGGAGCCAGAGCCUCGCCCGCCUCCCGCCCGCGCUCCCCGCCGCCGCCGCCAGCGCCGCUGCAGUGAUUCCUCGUCUCCAUCUAGCGAGGCUAUUGUGUAUUGGGCGCUUAAUAAUUUAUUUAUUCACCCUGGAGGCUGAGGACUCCCAGCUGCUGGGGAUCUUGCCCCUUGCUUGCCCUUUCCCCAAGUUUAUCCUGAGACUGGGAGAACGUGGGAGGAUCUGUCUUGUAGAGACCCCCUCUGCUCUCUGUCUUUGCGGACCCCCAUUCCUCACAGGCUCCGCGGGUCCCAGGACUGUAAGGUGCAGGCCACCGCUCCGGAGGCCAAGUACUUUGUCCCCCCUGCCCUUUGCAGCCGGGCAGUGGGGGCGUGCCUCCAUCCCCCUUCGCAUGCCGGAGGGAGUUGCGAUGGCCUUGGGGAGGGUCUUCCACCACUGCUUUCCUCAACAUCUGCAAAUUCCUCUUCAAGCCAAGACUAUCAACAAGUCGGUUGCGGGAAGGAGCCUGCUACGUCUCCAGCAGACAAGCUACUCCUCGCUUCCGAAGAAGCUUGCAGGCGCGCUCUGGUCUUUCAGACCAACGUCUUGGCGACCUUCUUCAUGUCAGAGCCCCAGGACGCGAUAGAUACUCUUCUCCGUAGGACUCUAGGGAUCCGGAUCCGCCCCUCCACUGCACUGGGGAUGGAACUCAGUACCUUCUGCUUGGGAGGCAGGCGCGUUGCCACUGAGCUAAAUGCCUGGCCCUGCAUUAUCUAAUCUGGUCUUCAGCAUUCCUAUACUGGACCUCUAUGUACCAAUGCACCUCUUGAGAGUCACCUGGCCCUCAUCUUCCUGGCCCAUCCAACACUGCAGAAUGUCACAGCCUCCCUUAGGGUGAAGACAAGCUCCAUUGCAGAUCUCUCAUGCCACAGUAGGACCCAGGGAUGUGCUGGCUCCUCUCGCCCUUUCUGGGUAUAGAUGGUGACCCACACACUGUCACACAGGAUCUGCUUACAGAGGCCACUUGGCAGCUCUACUCAGAAAUGGAAAGGAGUUAAACUUUGGGGGAAAACUUUGGCCAAUGAAAGGCAGGAGAUGAAAGGAACCCAGCAUACGGAUUCCAGUGGUUCCAGUUGACCUGUCAGGAGGUGUCCAGUAGGUGAUUAAGCAACUGGCAAUGUUUUCUCCAGAUAUGUGGCCAGCUUGAUAAUUCACAACUUUGUAUUUGCUCCCCGCCUUACUACCACUUUUCCCUUGUUUUUCUUACCCUAGGAUUUUAUCCCUCAAUAAAGU
RNAcentral lists this long non-coding RNA (1498 nucleotides) under Heterocephalus glaber (naked mole-rat). Its description in RNAcentral is "lncRNA (ENSHGLG00000036946.1)". Lineage: Eukaryota; Metazoa; Chordata; Mammalia; Rodentia; Bathyergidae. The record is from RNAcentral.